AAUCCUACGGGGGGCAGCAGUGGGGAAUAUUGCGCAAUGGGGGCAACCUUGACGCAGCAACGCCGCGUGAUUGAAGACGGCCUUCGGGUUGUAAAGAUCUUUAAUCGGGGACGAAUUUUGACGGUACCCGAAGAAUAAGCUCCGGCUAACUACGUGCCAGCAGCCGCGGUAAUACGUGGGGAGCAAGCGUUAUCCGGAUUUACUGGGUGUAAAGGGCGUGCAGGCGGGCAUGCAAGCCAGAAGUGAAAUCUGGGGGCUUAACCCCCAAACUGCUUUUGGAACUGCGUGUCUUGAGGGAUGGAGGG
RNAcentral lists this ribosomal RNA (305 nucleotides) under uncultured bacterium. Its description in RNAcentral is "bacterial SSU rRNA". It matches the Rfam family "Bacterial small subunit ribosomal RNA", at positions 335 to 656 of the family's 1533-position model. The record is from RNAcentral.